CCUACGGGUGGCUGCAGUGGGGGAUAUUGCACAAUGGGGGAAACCCUGAUGCAGCGACGCCGCGUGUGGGAAGACGGUCUUCUGGAUUGUAAACCACUGUCCCCAGGGACGAAAAUGACGGUACCGGGGGAGGAAGCUCCGGCUAACUACGUGCCAGCAGCCGCGGUAAUAGGUCGGGAGCAAGCGUUGUCCGGAAUAACGGGGUGUAAAGGGAGCGGAGGCGGGGAUGCAAGUUGGGUGUCAAACCUACCGGCUCAACCGAUAGUCGCACUCCAAACUGCAACUCUUGAGUGAAGUAGGGGCAGGCGGAAUUCCUAGUGUAGCGGUGAAAUGCGUAGAUAUUAGGAGGAACACCAGUGGCGACGGCGGCCUGCUGGGCUUUUCCUGACGCUGAGGCUCGAAAGUGUGGGGAGCAAACAGGAUUAGAUACCCCGGUAGUC
Molecule: ribosomal RNA, 440 nt
Filed under: uncultured bacterium
Lineage: Bacteria
Description: partial 16S ribosomal RNA
Rfam family: Bacterial small subunit ribosomal RNA
Source: RNAcentral